This 253-nucleotide ribosomal RNA is filed under the name uncultured bacterium. Its description in RNAcentral is "partial 16S ribosomal RNA". It matches the Rfam family "Bacterial small subunit ribosomal RNA", at positions 524 to 776 of the family's 1533-position model. The record is from RNAcentral.
UACGUAGGGUGCAAGCGUUGUCCGGAAUUAUUGGGCGUAAAGAGCUUGUAGGCGGUUUGUCGCGUCUGCUGUGAAAUUUCGGGGCUCAACCCCGAACUUGCAGUGGGUACGGGCAGACUAGAGUGUGGUAGGGGAGACUGGAAUUCCUGGUGUAGCGGUGAAAUGCGCAGAUAUCUGGAGGAACACCGGUGGCGAAGGCGGCAUCCUGGACCAUGACUGACGCUGAGGAGCGAAAGCCAGGGGAGCAAACGGG